RNAcentral lists this ribosomal RNA (1264 nucleotides) under Cellulosimicrobium sp. BAB-2381. Its description in RNAcentral is "bacterial SSU rRNA". It matches the Rfam family "Bacterial small subunit ribosomal RNA", at positions 173 to 1463 of the family's 1533-position model. Lineage: Bacteria; Bacillati; Actinomycetota; Actinomycetes; Micrococcales; Promicromonosporaceae. The record is from RNAcentral.
AUGAGCCGCCCUCGCAUGGGGUGGUGGAAAGUUUUCGGUCAGGGAUGGGCUCGCGGCCUAUCAGCUUGUUGGUGGGGUGAUGGCCUACCAAGGCGACGACGGGUAGCCGGCCUGAGAGGGCGACCGGCCACACUGGGACUGAGACACGGCCCAGACUCCUACGGGAGGCAGCAGUGGGGAAUAUUGCACAAUGGGCGAAAGCCUGAUGCAGCGACGCCGCGUGAGGGAUGAAGGCCUUCGGGUUGUAAACCUCUUUCAGCAGGGAAGAAGCGCAAGUGACGGUACCUGCAGAAGAAGCGCCGGCUAACUACGUGCCAGCAGCCGCGGUAAUACGUAGGGCGCAAGCGUUGUCCGGAAUUAUUGGGCGUAAAGAGCUCGUAGGCGGUUUGUCGCGUCUGGUGUGAAAACUCGAGGCUCAACCUCGAGCUUGCAUCGGGUACGGGCAGACUAGAGUGCGGUAGGGGAGACUGGAAUUCCUGGUGUAGCGGUGGAAUGCGCAGAUAUCAGGAGGAACACCGAUGGCGAAGGCAGGUCUCUGGGCCGCAACUGACGCUGAGGAGCGAAAGCAUGGGGAGCGAACAGGAUUAGAUACCCUGGUAGUCCAUGCCGUAAACGUUGGGCACUAGGUGUGGGGCUCAUUCCACGAGUUCCGUGCCGCAGCAAACGCAUUAAGUGCCCCGCCUGGGGAGUACGGCCGCAAGGCUAAAACUCAAAGGAAUUGACGGGGGCCCGCACAAGCGGCGGAGCAUGCGGAUUAAUUCGAUGCAACGCGAAGAACCUUACCAAGGCUUGACAUGCACGAGAAGCCACCAGAGAUGGUGGUCUCUUUGGACACUCGUGCACAGGUGGUGCAUGGUUGUCGUCAGCUCGUGUCGUGAGAUGUUGGGUUAAGUCCCGCAACGAGCGCAACCCUCGUCCCAUGUUGCCAGCGGGUUAUGCCGGGGACUCAUGGGAGACUGCCGGGGUCAACUCGGAGGAAGGUGGGGAUGACGUCAAAUCAUCAUGCCCCUUAUGUCUUGGGCUUCACGCAUGCUACAAUGGCCGGUACAAAGGGCUGCGAUACCGUAAGGUGGAGCGAAUCCCAAAAAGCCGGUCUCAGUUCGGAUUGGGGUCUGCAACUCGACCCCAUGAAGUCGGAGUCGCUAGUAAUCGCAGAUCAGCAACGCUGCGGUGAAUACGUUCCCGGGCUUGUACACACCGCCCGUCAGUCACGAAAGUCGGUACACCCGAGCCAUGGCCACGUUCGCGGGGGAGUGUCGAGUGG